UUAAACUUCCUUGAUCUUAAUUAGCUUUGUAGCAACUCAUUUAGCAAUGGCUUGAAUAUAACUGAUGUUCAUUAGUAUCAGAAUGUUACGCAAUAAAGCU
This is a long non-coding RNA of Etheostoma spectabile (orangethroat darter), 100 nucleotides long. RefSeq lists it as uncharacterized. Lineage: Eukaryota; Metazoa; Chordata; Actinopteri; Perciformes; Percidae. The transcript has 3 exons. The record is from RefSeq and is a predicted model, not a curated record.